UCUCACUAUUUAAAACGACUCUCGGCAACGGAUAUCUCGGCUCUCGCAUCGAUGAAGAACGUAGCGAAAUGCGAUACUUGGUGUGAAUUGCAGAAUCCCGUGAACCAUCGAGUCUUUGAACGCAAGUUGCGCCCCAAGCCGUUAGGCCGAGGGCACGCCUGCCUGGGUGUCACGCA
Molecule: ribosomal RNA, 176 nt
Filed under: Acer palmatum
Lineage: Eukaryota; Viridiplantae; Streptophyta; Magnoliopsida; Sapindales; Sapindaceae
Also listed under: 3 other names
Description: 5.8S ribosomal RNA
Rfam family: 5.8S ribosomal RNA (bases 17-172)
About the family: 5.8S ribosomal RNA (5.8S rRNA) is a component of the large subunit of the eukaryotic ribosome. It is transcribed by RNA polymerase I as part of the 45S precursor that also contains 18S and 28S rRNA. Functionally, it is thought that 5.8S rRNA may be involved in ribosome translocation.
Source: RNAcentral